This 465-nucleotide ribosomal RNA is filed under the name uncultured bacterium. RNAcentral's name for it is "bacterial SSU rRNA". It matches the Rfam family "Bacterial small subunit ribosomal RNA", at positions 338 to 795 of the family's 1533-position model. The record is from RNAcentral.
CCUACGGGUCGCACCAGUGGGGAAUAUUGCACAAUGGGCGCAAGCCUGACGCAGCCAUGCCGCGUGUAUGAAGAAGGCCUUCGGGUUGUAAAGUACCUUCAGCGAGGAGGAAGGCAUUAAGGUUAAUAACCUUAGUGAUUGACGUUACUCGCAGAAGAAGCACCGGCUAACUCCGUGCCACCAGCCGCGGUAAGACGGAGGGUGCAAGCGUUAAUCGGAAUUACUGGGCGUAAAGCGCACGCAGGCGGUCUGUCAAGUCGGAUGUGAAAUCCCCGGGCUCAACCUGGGAACUGCAUUCGAAACUGGCAGGCUAGAGUCUUGUAGAGGGGGGUAGAAUUCCAGGUGUAGCGGUGAAAUGCGUAGAGAUCUGGAGGAAUACCGGUGGCGAAGGCGGCCCCCUGGACAAAGACUGACGCUCAGGUGCGAAAGCGUGGGGAGCAAACAGGAUUAGAUACCCGAGUAGUC